GGUAACUCCGAUGUCCCAGAACGUAUCUGCCACCCGUAACGAGUGCAGUAUGAAUUGCUAGCCCAGCGUGUAAUCAUGGAAAUCCGCGUACUGGACUCAUGUACUGCAGCCUUGGUUCUUAAGGGGUGGAAUCCAGGGACGGGAAUGGUAAGAUUGGGGAAUACGUGGCGAAGGCGGCCCCUGGCGAAAAUAAGCCCAGGGCGGAACGUGGGAGCAACAGAUUUAAACCCUGGUAUUCCCCCCGUAACGAUUUGAUUGAGGUGGGCCCUGAGGGUGCUUCCGGAGUUACCGUUAGUCGGCGCCCGGGAAUCGGCCGCCAAGGUUAAACUCAAAGAAUGACCGGGGCCGCACCAACGGUGGAGCAAUGUGGUUAAUUCGAUGCAACGCGGAAGACCUUACCUGGGCCUUGACCUCCCAGAGAAAUUAGCAAGAGAUGGCUUGGUGCCCUUCGGGAACUUUGAGAACAGGUGCUGCAUGGCUGUCGUCAGGUUGUGUUGUGAAAAUGUUGGGUUAAGUCCCGCCAACGAGCGCAACCCUUAUCCUUUGUUGCCAGCGACUCGGUCGGGAACUCAAAGGAGACUGCCGGUGAUAAACCGGAGGAAGGUGGGGAUGACGUCAAGUCAUCAUGGCCCUUACGGCCAGGGCUACACACGUGCUACAAUGGCGCAUACAAAGAGAAGCGACCUCGCGAGAGCAAGCGGACCUCAUAAAGUGCGUCGUAGUCCGGAUUGGAGUCUGCAACUCGACUCCAUGAAGUCGGAAUCGCUAGUAAUCGUAGAUCAGAAUGCUACGGUGAAUACGUUCCCGGGCCUUGUACACACCGCCCGUCACACCAUGGGAGUGGGUUGCAAAAGAAGUAGGUAGCUAACUCGGAGGCGCUUGUGACGUGGAUUCGU
Molecule: ribosomal RNA, 896 nt
Filed under: Pantoea sp.
Lineage: Bacteria; Pseudomonadati; Pseudomonadota; Gammaproteobacteria; Enterobacterales; Erwiniaceae
Description: bacterial SSU rRNA
Rfam family: Bacterial small subunit ribosomal RNA (bases 101-896)
Source: RNAcentral